GGCAGGAUGGCGGAGUGGUCUAUCGCGCUAGACUCAAGAUAGUUAUCUUACACCCAGUAUUACUAGGUGUUCUAGUCCUCGAACGAGGGCGGGGGUUCGAAUCCCCCUCCUGUCA
Molecule: transfer RNA, 115 nt
Filed under: Penicillium brasilianum
Lineage: Eukaryota; Fungi; Ascomycota; Eurotiomycetes; Eurotiales; Aspergillaceae
Rfam family: tRNA
About the family: Transfer RNA (tRNA) molecules are approximately 80 nucleotides in length. Their secondary structure includes four short double-helical elements and three loops (D, anti-codon, and T loops). Further hydrogen bonds mediate the characteristic L-shaped molecular structure. tRNAs have two regions of fundamental functional importance: the anti-codon, which is responsible for specific mRNA codon recognition, and the 3' end, to which the tRNAs corresponding amino acid is attached (by aminoacyl-tRNA synthetases). tRNAs cope with the degeneracy of the genetic code in two manners: having more than one tRNA (with a specific anti-codon) for a particular amino acid; and 'wobble' base-pairing, i.e. permitting non-standard base-pairing at the 3rd anti-codon position.
Source: Rfam by way of RNAcentral